Molecule: long non-coding RNA, 1355 nt
Organism: Oncorhynchus tshawytscha (Chinook salmon)
Lineage: Eukaryota; Metazoa; Chordata; Actinopteri; Salmoniformes; Salmonidae
Source: Ensembl
CUCUAUUAGAACUAUAGAAACAUAAUAUCUCUAUUAGAACUAUAGAAACAUAAUAUCUCUAUUAGAACUAGAAACAUAAUAUCUCUAUUAGAACUAGAAACAAGAACAAUAGAAACAACAUUGAAUGUAAACUAAGACAGUUUUUCCAAAAGCACUGAUAUUAACAUAUUGUAUGCAGUAAAACAUGUUCAUGGAAUUGGCCUAUUUUCUGUACUAACUUUUCCCCUACUAAUUAUUUCCCAUACUAACUUCACUUUUACUUGAUGUUUGUCUUUAUGUUUGUCUUUACAAAAGUUUGUCUUUCCCAUAUUAUCGUGUCAAGUCCAUCUUAUCAUUUCCGGGACAGUCUCCAUUGCUUUCUAGCCACUGACGGCUUCUUCUCUGCUGGCCAGUUCACAUCUGCCACUUUCACACAUUCAGGUGGUCCUCCAAUUACUUCCAGAUACUGUGGUAAAUCUGAGAUGACCUUUUGUUCACUGGCAGCAGGUAUUGCAUCAGACACACAAUCUGAACAUCCCCAUACCAGUUUAUCAUCUCUUGGGCUUGUUGACUCCAUUCCUGUGCAUGCACUUUGACCUUUUGUUCUUUGACCUCCAGUAUAACGCCAGGGUAUGGUUGUUCAUCCUAGUUCACAAUGCACCACUGUCCAGUGUGGUGAGCCUCGAUGACAUCUGGACGAAGUGGAGCUGAGGUAUCUGGGUUGGCGACAUCUGGACGAAGUGGAGCUGAGGUAUCUGGGUCGGCGACAUCUGGACGAAGUGGAGCUGAGGUAUCUGGGUCGGCGACAUCUGGACAAAGCGGAGCUGAGAUAUCUGGGUCGGCGACAUCUGGACAAAGUGGAGCUGAGAGACCAUGGCCAUUAGCCGGGGCUGUGAUUUCUUGGAGUCUAUAACAUGGGCAAUCCCACAUGCUAUGCGCUGCUUGGCAGAGACAACUGUCUCUGUAUUUGAGGAUGCCAGGCACGAUACACUUUCCUUUUAUGGUGACCAGAGGUACCCCAGAAAUCCUCUGUGCCUUACUUUCCACCUCUGCCUCACUGACAUAAUACAACUGUAUUUGAGUGCCAGAGUCCCUUACCUCCCGAUAGAAAUACAUUGUGUCCGUUAUGUCUUUUCAGUGGUGGACCAAGAGGUCAGCUGACCCGCCCACUCCAACACUGUUUCUCCUGCUCUCAACAUCUGUGUUAUUUCUGUCUGACCCACCAUUGCUUUCACUCAUGUCUUGUUCCACUUUCUGUGACAACAUUCAUUCUUUUUUUUUUCAACUCUCUAAAACCUUUCACUAAAUCCUGUGUUUUUUUCCAAGGUAGGUUGCUCGGUGAUCCAGGUCAGCAUCCCUGCGCGGUCAAAUCAAAU